AAUCUGACUCAGAACGGGUGUGGUAGAUCACGUCCACCCUGGCAGAGGAAGUAAAAGCCCCUCUCCAGACGGUGCUGCUACAGAUAUACACACCUCAAGACAGCACAAGAACAGGACCUACUACAGUAUCACCACGACUCAACUCGCUCUACGUUCACGAUCAAGGCGAGGCAUGGACCCCAACGUAAAACUAUGGUCGGCGCUGCCUGCGGCGAAUAUCAGAGGCGCAGAGGAGGCGUUGGCUGCCGGGGCCAACGUAAAUCUACAGAAUUCCGAGGGCGACAGUCCCCUCCACGCCGCGGCCCUCAGGGGAGAAGCGCCCGUCGUCCGCCUCCUACUGACCCACGGAGCUCAAGUAAAUGCAGAUGAUGACGAGGGUUUCACACCGCUCAUGGUGGCAGCGCUUAACGGCCACACAACUGUCCUAAAGGAGCUGUUAGCUGGUGGGGCGAACCCGAACCAGACCAGACUAGACACCGGGGAGACGGCUCUGCACCUGGCCAUGAACAGUAACAGCCGACAGGUAGUCACUGCGCUGCUUGACGCCGGCGUUGAUGUUAAUGCUCAGACGAGUAAUGAUAAGUCCACACCGCUGCAUGUUGCUGCAGAGUUUGAUAAUCAGCGCCUGGCCAGGGUGCUAGUGGGCCACCCAGUGUGUGACAUUCUGAUGAAAAACAGCAGCGGCAAAACCGCUGCUCAAGUAGCCACAGACCACGAUCACCACCGCUUGGCAGAGUACCUGGUCAUGUGCAGCUCACCAAACAGCCCCGUUGACCAGAUGCUUGUGUCCGCCAUACUAGCACUGGAUGUUGACAAGGCGGCAGAGGCGGUGGCUGCCGGUGCCAAUGUCAACCUACAAGCUCCUGGAGGUAAUACUCCCCUCCACGCUGCCGCCCUCAGAGGGGAGGCGCCCAUCAUCCUCCUCCUACUGACCCAUGACGGUGAUGUAAACAAGGCCGACGAUGACGGUUUCACACCACUCAUGGUGGCUGCACUCAACGGUCGUCUGGACGCCGUGAAGGACUUGAUGGCUGGUGGGGCCAACCCCAAGUUGACCCGUUUAGACACCGGGGAGACGGCUCUGCACAUGGCUAUGAUCAGUAACAGCCGGGAGGUGGUCACUGCGCUGCUUGAUGCCGGCGCCGACGUCAAUGCUCAGACGAAAGACAAAUCCACACCGUUGCAUGUUGCUGCAGAGUUUAAUAAACAGCACCUAGCUGAGAAGCUAUUGAAGCACCCGACGUGUGAUGCAACCUUAGAGGACGUAAAUGGCCACACUGCCGCCCAGGUGGCCAGAAUGUUUCGCCAUGAUACACUGGCCUCCAUGCUGGGUGGUGCUGACGACGUGGACAGCUCUCUGACCGCGUCACCACUACAAGAAGCGGGAAUGACGGUGCAGGUGGUGUUUGGAAGACCUAUGCCGCCCGGAGAAAACGUGUAUAAGUGUACCACAAACCCCAAGGGCCACGUCCUCAUCCUCAACUACGAGUUCACUGGUACACAUAAUGAACGUCGUGGCUCUACUACCGACGUCAAAAACCUCAACAAUGUCUUUACACAAAUGGGCUACAGGGUGACGACUCACAAGGAUCUAAACAAACAAGAAUCAAUAAAAGCCCUCGAAGAGUUCCGCAACAACGAGGAGCUGGGUAAGGUGGACUCUGUGUUCGUCUGUGUCCUCUCCCACGGCGAGGACAAAGAAACCUUCUACACAGCUGACAAUAAGACACUUACAGUGAACGAGGUCCGUAACAUGUUCACCGACAACGAGUGUCCCAACCUGAAGGGCAAACCUAAAGUCUUCCUCAUGAACUUCUGCCGUGGGAAAAAGAAGGAGAAGGGCUGCAUCAUCGACAAAACACGUACAGAUUCUGUUAUGAUACCAAGAAGCCCCGAACACCACAGCGACUCCACAGAUUCAGUGAUGGAAGUCCCCAGAGAUAUGUUCACAUUCUACGCCACCGUCGAGGGGAUCAUGGCUCUUCGGAAUGUUUAUGAAGGGACUUUCUUCGUACAGGCGCUCUGUCAGAUACUCGCUGCGUACGCUCACAGAGACCACCUGUCGGAACUAGCCCUCAAAGUGAGGAAUCAUAUGGUGGACAGGAUGUGCGGCACCACACCGGACUGGGAGGAUUACUUCUUUAAGAAGUUUUACCUCAACCCCACGAGUCAAACAGGACGCUGAAGGCGGCAAUACCUCCCACCAGUGUACACAACCUCGGCUCUCCCUCCGUCACAACUUAUACUUGGUUUAGGUUCAUUAUACUGACUCUUUGAUCAUAGCUUUAGGUUCAUUAUACUGACUCGUUGAUCAUAGCUUUAGGUUCAUUAUACUGACUCGUUGAUUAUAGCUUUAGGUUCAUUAUACUGACUCUGAUUAUAGCUUUACUACAUAAUAUUUGCUUACUUCAUCAUAAAAGGGUUUUGAGUACUAGUUAUGGCUGUAAUGAUAUUUUGAAACAAGUGUGCAACUGUAUACGUACAUGUUUAAGAGUACAAUACAACCCUCUCUCUCUCUCUCUCUCUCUCUCUCUCUCUUUACUCAUGUGUUUGCCAUUGACGACACAUUAAUAAAAAGAGUUACAUGCAA
This 2590-nucleotide unclassified non-coding RNA is filed under the name Homarus americanus (American lobster). Its description in RNAcentral is "ankyrin-3-like, transcript variant X1". Lineage: Eukaryota; Metazoa; Arthropoda; Malacostraca; Decapoda; Nephropidae. The record is from RNAcentral.